UUUAUAUUAGCUUAACAAAAGCAUAGCUUUGAAGAAGCUUAGAUCAUUUUUUUUAUGAUAUAAAA
RNAcentral lists this transfer RNA (65 nucleotides) under Succinea putris (European ambersnail). RNAcentral's name for it is "tRNA-Phe". The record is from RNAcentral. Lineage: Eukaryota; Metazoa; Mollusca; Gastropoda; Stylommatophora; Succineidae.